AAAGCAUCUUACCUGGGCUAAUGAAAAACAGACCUGGUCUGUUGCUCAGUGGUCCAAAGUCCUCUUUUCUGAUGAGAGCAAUUUUUUUUGGAAACCAAGGACCCAGAGUCUGGAGGAAGAAUGGAGAGACACACACUGCAAGAUGCUUGAAGUCCAGUGUAAAGUUUGUUGGUCCACUGUGCUUCAUUAAGUCCAGGACAUUUUGGAGCACUUCAUGCUUCCUUCCGCAGACUAGCUUUAUGGGGAUGCUGACUUCAUUUUCCAGCAGGACUUGGCACCUGCCCACACUGCCAAACUGUCAUCAAGCACAGCAAUGACCGUGGGAUUACUGUGCUUGAUUGGCCAGCAAACUCGCCUGACCUGAACCCCAUAGAGAAUCUAUGGGGCAUUGACAAGAGAAAGAUGAGAGACAUGAG
Non-coding RNA from Pelobates cultripes (western spadefoot toad), 416 nucleotides. NCBI's taxonomy places the organism in Eukaryota, Metazoa, Chordata, Amphibia, Anura, Pelobatidae. The record is from the annotation of a GenBank genome assembly.